AGCAGCCGCGGUAAUUCCAGCUCCAAUAGCGUAUAUUAAAGUUGUUGCAGUUAAAAGCUCGUAGUUGAAUUUCGGGGUUAGUAGGUUGGUCGUGCCACCGGUAUGUACUGGCUCUACUGAUCCCUCCUUCUUGUAGAACCGUAAUGCCAUUAACUUGGUGUUGCGGGGAAACAGGACUGUUACUUUGAAAAAUUAGAGUGUUUAAAGCAGGCUAACGCUUGAAUACAUUAGCAUGGAAUAAUGAAAUAGGACGCUCGAUCCUAUUUUGUUGGUUUCUAGGAUUGACGUAAUGAUUAAUAGGGAUAGUUGGGGGCAUUAGUAUUCAAUUGUCAGAGGUGAAAUUCUUGGAUUUAUUGAAGACUAACUACUGCGAAAGCAUUUGCCAAGGAUGUUUUCAUUAAUCAAGAACGAAAGUUAGGGAUCGAAGACGAUCAGAUACCGUCGUAGUCUUAACCAUAAACUAUGCCGACUAGGGAUCGGAUGAUGUUAAUUUUUAAUGUACUCAUUCGGCGCCUUACGG
This 520-nucleotide ribosomal RNA is filed under the name uncultured Glomus. RNAcentral describes it as "SSU rRNA". It matches the Rfam family "Eukaryotic small subunit ribosomal RNA", at positions 569 to 1093 of the family's 1831-position model. Lineage: Eukaryota; Fungi; Glomeromycota; Glomeromycetes; Glomerales; Glomeraceae. The record is from RNAcentral.